AGUGAACGCUGGCGGUAGGCCUAACACAUGCAAGUCGAACGGCAGCACAGUAAGAGCUUGCUCUUACGGGUGGCGAGUGGCGGACGGGUGAGGAAUACAUCGGAAUCUACUUUUUCGUGGGGGAUAACGUAGGGAAACUUACGCUAAUACCGCAUACGACCUACGGGUGAAAGCAGGGGAUCUUCGGACCUUGCGCGAUUGAAUGAGCCGAUGUCGGAUUAGCUAGUUGGCGGGGUAAAGGCCCACCAAGUCGACGAUCCGUAGCUGGUCUGAGAGGAUGAACAGCCACACUUGAACGUAGGCACCGGCCAGACUCCUUCGGGGAGGAAGAGGGGGGAAAUUUGGACAAUUGGCGGAAACCUGGACCAGCCAUACCGCGGUGGGUGAAGAGGCCUUCCGGGUUGAAAGGCCUUUUUGUUGGAAAGAAAAGGAGCAGGGUAAAUCCCCGGUGGUCUGACGGUACCCAAAAGAUAAACACCCGCUAACUUCCGU
This 492-nucleotide ribosomal RNA is filed under the name uncultured bacterium. RNAcentral describes it as "partial 16S ribosomal RNA". It matches the Rfam family "Bacterial small subunit ribosomal RNA", at positions 29 to 506 of the family's 1533-position model. The record is from RNAcentral.